Molecule: ribosomal RNA, 793 nt
Filed under: uncultured bacterium
Lineage: Bacteria
Description: bacterial SSU rRNA
Rfam family: Bacterial small subunit ribosomal RNA
Source: RNAcentral
AGAGUUUGAUCAUGGCUCAGAUUGAACGCUGGCGGCAGGCCUAACACAUGCAAGUCGAGCGGAUGACAGGAGCUUGCUCCUGGAUUCAGCGGCGGACGGGUGAGUAAUGCCUAGGAAUCUGCCUGGUAGUGGGGGACAACGUUUCGAAAGGAACGCUAAUACCGCAUACGUCCUACGGGAGAAAGCAGGGGACCUUCGGGCCUUGCGCUAUCAGAUGAGCCUAGGUCGGAUUAGCUUGUUGGUGAGGUAAUGGCUCACCAAGGCGACGAUCCGUAACUGGUCUGAGAGGAUGAUCAGUCACACUGGAACUGAGACACGGUCCAGACUCCUACGGGAGGCAGCAGUGGGGAAUAUUGGACAAUGGGCGAAAGCCUGAUCCAGCCAUGCCGCGUGUGUGAAGAAGGUCUUCGGAUUGUAAAGCACUUUAAGUUGGGAGGAAGGGUUGUAGAUUAAUACUCUGCAAUUUUGACGUUACCGACAGAAUAAGCACCGGCUAACUCUGUGCCAGCAGCCGCGGUAAUACAGAGGGUGCAAGCGUUAAUCGGAAUUACUGGGCGUAAAGCGCGCGUAGGUGGUUUGUUAAGUUGGAUGUGAAAGCCCCGGGCUCAACCUGGGAACUGCAUCCAAAACUGGCAAGCUAGAGUACGGUAGAGGGUGGUGGAAUUUCCUGUGUAGCGAUGAAAUGCGUAGAUAUAGGAAGGAACACCAGUGGCGAAGGCGACCACCUGGACUGAUACUGACACUGAGGUGCGAAAGCGUGGGGAGCAAACAGGAUUAGAUACCCCGGUAGUCC